Molecule: ribosomal RNA, 482 nt
Filed under: uncultured bacterium
Lineage: Bacteria
Description: partial 16S ribosomal RNA
Rfam family: Bacterial small subunit ribosomal RNA
Source: RNAcentral
GAUGAACGCUAGCGGCAGGCCUAAUACAUGCAAGUCGGACGGGAUUCAGGAGCUUGCUUCUGAUGAGAGUGGCGCACGGGUGCGUAACACGUAUGUAACCUACCUUUAUCAGGGGGAUAGCCUCUCGAAAGAGAGAUUAAGCCCGCAUAAAAUCGCAGCACAGCAUUGUGUAAUGAUCAAAUAUUUAUAGGAUAAAGAUGGGCAUGCGGAACAUUAGCUAGAUGGCGGGGUAACGGCCCACCAUGGCGACGAUGUUUAGGGGAUCUGAGAGGAUGGCCCCCCACACUGGUACUGAGACACGGACCAGACUCCUACGGGAGGCAGCAGUAAGGAAUAUUGGUCAAUGGGCGGAAGCCUGAACCAGCCAUGCCGCGUGCAGGAAGACGGCCCUACGGGUUGUAAACUGCUUUUAUACGGGAAUAAACCCAGAUACGUGUAUCUGGCUGAAUGUACUGGAAGAAUAAGGAUCGGCUAACCCCGUG